This 1000-nucleotide long non-coding RNA is filed under the name Cricetulus griseus (Chinese hamster). RNAcentral describes it as "lncRNA (ENSCGRG00015030059.1)". Lineage: Eukaryota; Metazoa; Chordata; Mammalia; Rodentia; Cricetidae. The record is from RNAcentral.
GGGGUUAGGUUGAAAUGCUGAGAUAUUUAUUUCCCAGAUAUGGAAAAGAAUUGGUGCGAAGUAAGGAGAGACGUGACGAGGAGGGUGCGGUGGGCAGUCUGAGUCCUGGAGAUACAAUGCCACCUCUCUGGAUUUUCAGGGAAAUCAGUGAUGUUUUGUAACCAGGCAGACAAAACUUCAUGGAAGUGUGUCACACUCAGCUGGGGACAAAACCACAAGCAAUGAUCAGAACUUGGAUAUGUCCUCUUUGAGGACCAGCAGGGGAAUUAUCUAGAAAACACUGAUGAGGAUCAGAUGGUGCCACUGGUGCAUUCCAACCAACAUUUGAAGAAGAAUUAACAGCAAUGCAUCUUCAUUCCAUCAUUCAUCCUGUGAAACCAGCCUUAACCUGAAUCGGAGUCCUGAAAAAGAUAUCUCGGGAAAGUCAAGCUACCGGCCAGUCUCUGUUGGGAAUAUAGACUUGAAGGUUCCCAGCAUAGUUCUAAUGGAUAAAAUUCAGCAGCACAUUAAAAGGGUUAUACACCAUGACCAAGUGGGUUUAUCCCCAAAGGCAAAGUUGGUUCUAUAUACACAAGUGGGAACUCAAAUGCUACUGUACACGAUGCUCACAACAGCGUUAAUAAGAAUAGCCCGAAGUUAGAAGCAGUCUGCUCACCAGCGGGUAAGGCGAUUUGAAGAUUGGUGCAUCAAUACAAGGGAAGAGCCAUCAGUCACAAGAAGGAAUGAAAUUCUGAAACAUGCUAUGACACUGUAGACAGCACCGUGCUGAGUGAAACAAACUGGACACCGAAGGACAGAUGCGGUAAGAUGGUCCUGUCCUUGUUAAAUUUUGUCACUUGAUGAAAGCUAGAGUCAUCUGGGAAGAUGGAACCUCAGUUGAGGAAAUGCCCCAAUUAGAUCAGCCUCUAGGCAAGUUUGAGGGGCACUUUCUUGGUUAAUGAUUGAUUUGGGAGGGCCCAGCCCACUACGGGCAGUGCCACCCUUAGGCACAUUGUUAUGG